Long non-coding RNA from Bactrocera oleae (olive fruit fly), 983 nucleotides. RefSeq lists it as uncharacterized. The record is from RefSeq and is a predicted model, not a curated record. NCBI's taxonomy places the organism in Eukaryota, Metazoa, Arthropoda, Insecta, Diptera, Tephritidae.
CUUCAAUGAGGGAUCAGUGCGGUUCGAAGUUUUGACUUUUUUGUUGCUACAAUAUAAUAAUCUUGAACCAGAAAAAUCAAUGAAAAUAUAUAAAUUGUUUACUCGAAGUUCUCAAGAAAAGAGCGGCUGUUUACAAACCAGUCGCGGCUACGCAUUCAUUACGGCUUUAUAUUGGCAAAAGCUUUUCAGCAUUCAGCAUUUCCAAAACGAUUCCAACUAAAUUUUAAGCAUUUGAAAUAACAAAAUCGCGGGUACUCACGCCUGUGGAUCUGUUGAUGGUCCACUGCUUUAAAGAGCUAAUUUUCCAUUACUAUCAGGUCUGCGCAAGUUUCACAACUUUUAACAGAGAAUGGUUUUUAUAUUGCCGGAGGAAAAUCUGAAGAUAUAGAAAUAUGUUUACCUAAAAGGGUUCAUCUAAGUCCAUCAAUUGUUCGUAGACGCUUUGAACAAAUAAUACCUAAUGUUGGAAAGGCCCAGAGAAAUACUUUCAUGUUUUCUUCAUUUGUUUUUGUCCUCCCAUUGAUUGAGGAGCGGCCAACCUGUAAUCUUGCUGCCAAGAACCAUCUAAGAACACUGCCAAAGAACGUUGACUGAAUGCAGUGAGUGAAGCCGGAAAAAAGCAGAACUAAAUUUUACGAUCCAGUCGUUUAACAAAUGAAUUUAUAACCGUGAAACGCCCAAUUGUCUGGCGUUAAAAUUCAAAUGGCACUAAAUUUGGCAAAACCUUAGGCGCAGCGGAGGCAACCAAUGCCCGGUUGUUGAAUUUGUCCGUCCGAAGUGGUGAGAAUAAUGUAGUCGUCUGCAUUUGUGUGCAUUUGGACAAGAGUACACAUAGAUUUACGUAUACAAAACCCUCAGGCACUUAAUUAGCACACACACAAUCAAGCAGUGACAGUCAGCUGCGCUUAAGAGAGCAGGGCGCUUAUAUAUCUCUCAAUUUUCUUGUUAUAUCUUGCCAAGUUGCUUAGGUUUAUAAAUAAAAA